RNAcentral lists this unclassified non-coding RNA (436 nucleotides) under uncultured Alteromonadaceae bacterium. RNAcentral describes it as "partial 16S-23S ribosomal RNA intergenic spacer". Lineage: Bacteria; Pseudomonadati; Pseudomonadota; Gammaproteobacteria; Alteromonadales; Alteromonadaceae. The record is from RNAcentral.
CCUCCUUACCAUUACGUCGAAAGACGCACUUGAUGCAGUGCCUACACAGAUUGUUUUGUUCGUAAAUGAACAAACUUGGAUACUUACGAUACUCCUGAGAGUACUGUGAGUCCUCCUUGCGCAAAAGUCAUGACAAAAAGCGUCAUGAUUUUGCACGAUAGUUCUUUAACAAUUUGGAAAGCUGAUAUUAAUAGUAAUCAAUCAAAAUUGAGUAACUGAGAAGUCGAAAGACGUACUUUUUACUCUACUUGACUUGAAUUGCUUGUUAUCAACAUUGAUUGAUAGCAAGGCAAUUCUUCCGAUUAGCUUGUCAUGCAUACAACAUUACCCUUGUCCGAUUUCAAAAGGCGGACAUGGGGCCGAUACUCAAGGCUUUUUAGGGUUGUAUGGUUAAGUGACGAAGCGUAUACGGUGGAUGCCUUGGCAGUUAGAGGCA